GGGCCCCUUGGGGAAGGGGGUGCCCAUCGAAUAGUGCGAGGAAAUAAUAUUGCAUGCGCACACUCUGAAGCUCCUCAAUAAAAACACCUGUGAACCAACUGUAGUCUGGAGACCCUUUUGACUAUGAUUACUCUAUAUAACUCUUAUUGUAUGUUACAUAUAACGAUCUCUAUUGAAGCUUUGUUUUUUUUUACAAGUUUCUCUUAAUUGAAAAAUACACAACUUUCAACAACGGAUCUCUUGGCUCUUGCAUCAAUGAAGAACGCAGCGAAAUGCGAUAAGUAAUGUGAAUUGCAGAAUCCAGUGAAUCAUCAAAUCUUUGAACGCACCUUGCGCCCUUUGGUAUUCCGAGGGGCAUGCCUGUUUGAGAGUCAUUAAAUUCUCAACCUUACAAAUUUUUGUAUUUGUCAAGGCUUGGAUGUGAGAGUUGCUAGUUAAGAAUAUCUGACUGGCUCUCUUUAAAAUUAUUAGUAGGACAUAUAGAAAUGCCUGCGGUUGGUGUGAUAAUAUGUCUACGCCUAUACCAAAGGGGAUUCUAGCUUGUAUGCACUACUUAUAAAAUCAUGGGCAUAUAUCUAGCAUAUAAGUGCAUACAUUCACCGUUGACCUCAAUCCACGUUUGUAUGAUGGGAGG
This 634-nucleotide ribosomal RNA is filed under the name Drimia polyantha. RNAcentral's name for it is "eukaryotic LSU rRNA". The stretch from base 221 to 374 matches the Rfam family "5.8S ribosomal RNA". Lineage: Eukaryota; Viridiplantae; Streptophyta; Magnoliopsida; Asparagales; Asparagaceae. The record is from RNAcentral.